Molecule: ribosomal RNA, 777 nt
Filed under: uncultured Neocallimastigales
Lineage: Eukaryota; Fungi; Neocallimastigomycota; Neocallimastigomycetes; Neocallimastigales
Description: partial large subunit ribosomal RNA
Rfam family: Eukaryotic large subunit ribosomal RNA
Source: RNAcentral
UCAGACGAUGCGUCAUGCAUAUCAAUAAGCGGAGGAAAAGAAACUAACAAGGAUUCCCUUAGUAACGGCGAGUGAAGCGGGAAGAGCUCAAAUUUGAAAUCUUCAAGGUUUUACCUUGACGAAUUGUAGUUUAAAGAAGUGUUUUCCUGUUGAAGUUUUGGUAAAAGUUCUUUGGAAUAGGACAUCAUAGAGGGUGAGAAUCCCGUAUUUGACCAUUAUUUCAGCUUUGUGAUACACUUUCAAAGAGUCGGAUUGUUUGGGAAUGCAGUCCAAAAUGGGUGGUAAAUUUCAUCUAAAGCUAAAUAUUGGCGAGAGACCGAUAGCGAACAAGUACCGUGAGGGAAAGAUGAAAAGAACUUUGAAAAGAGAGUUAAACAGUACGUGAAAUUGUCAAAAGGGAAGCGUUUGACACCAGUGUUGUUUUCUCGAAAAUCAAUUAAAAGAGUGGAUUCAUGCUAGUUGUAUUGACCUUAAUCAGCUUGCUAAUUUGUUUCUGGUUCUUUUUUUAAUGCACUUUUCGUUUAACAAGUCAACAUCAGUUUCUUUUGUUGUAAAAGGGUCAUUGGAAGGUGGCUUUCUCUUCGGAGAAAGUGUUUAUAGCCUUUGAUCUCUGCAAUCGGAGAGACUGAGGUCUGCAGCGUAGAUCCUUCGGGGUUAGAUACAUUUGUGCUAAGCUACAGCUUUUCAUAGACAACUUGUUGACUAGUGUUUAGUCUUGUAACUUACCCGCUUAUGCUAUUUUACCUACGCUUAGGAUGUUGAUAUGCAUGCUGAUAU